Molecule: non-coding RNA, 79 nt
Filed under: Pseudomonas sp. R81
Lineage: Bacteria; Pseudomonadati; Pseudomonadota; Gammaproteobacteria; Pseudomonadales; Pseudomonadaceae
Description: Proteo-phage-1 RNA
Rfam family: Proteo-phage-1 RNA
Source: Rfam by way of RNAcentral
UUGUGGCCAGGACAGCCCUCGGGAAGUCCUGGACACUGAUAAGCCGGUAAUGCAGCCCUACGGAACAACAUUGACGUCC